This 916-nucleotide ribosomal RNA is filed under the name uncultured Bacillota bacterium. Its description in RNAcentral is "bacterial SSU rRNA". It matches the Rfam family "Bacterial small subunit ribosomal RNA", at positions 1 to 916 of the family's 1533-position model. The record is from RNAcentral. Lineage: Bacteria; Bacillati; Bacillota.
GGAUCCAGACUUUGAUUAUGGCUCAGGACGAACGCUGGCGGCGUGCCUAACACAUGCAAGUCGAACGAAGCUUGACGAAUGAUUUCUUCGGAAUGAAAUCUGAUAUGACUGAGUGGCGGACGGGUGAGUAACGCGUGAGCAACCUGCCCUUCGGAACGGGAUAGUGUCUGGAAACGGACAGUAAUACCGUAUAACGUAUUUUUACCGCAUGAUAGAAAUGCCAAAACUGAGGUGCCGAAGGAUGGGCUCGCGUCUGAUUAGAUAGUUGGUGGGGUAACGGCCUACCAAGUCGACGAUCAGUAGCCGGACUGAGAGGUUGAACGGCCACAUUGGGACUGAGACACGGCCCAGACUCCUACGGGAGGCAGCAGUGGGGAAUAUUGCACAAUGGGGGAAACCCUGAUGCAGCAACGCCGCGUGAAGGAAGACGGUUUUCGGAUUGUAAACUUCUGUUCUUAGUGAAGAAUAAUGACGGUAGCUAAGGAGCAAGCCACGGCUAACUACGUGCCAGCAGCCGCGGUAAUACGUAGGUGGCAAGCGUUGUCCGGAAUUACUGGGUGUAAAGGGAGCGUAGGCGGGAUGCCAAGUCAGCUGUGAAAACUAUGGGCUUAACCUGUAGACUGCAGUUGAAACUGGUAUUCUUGAGUGAAGUAGAGGUUGGCGGAAUUCCGAGUGUAGCGGUGAAAUGCGUAGAUAUUCGGAGGAACACCGGUGGCGAAGGCGGCCAACUGGGCUUUAACUGACGCUGAGGCUCGAAAGUGUGGGGAGCAAACAGGAUUAGAUACCCUGGUAGUCCACACUGUAAACGAUGAUAACUAGGUGUGGGGGGUCUGACCCCUUCCGUGCCGCAGCUAACGCAAUAAGUUAUCCACCUGGGGAGUACGACCGCAAGGUUGCAACUCAAAUGAAUUGACGG